GAUGAACGCUGGCGGCGUGCCUAAUACAUGCAAGUCGAGCGAACGGACGAGAAGCUUGCUUCUCUGAUGUUAGCGGCGGACGGGUGAGUAACACGUGGAUAACCUACCUAUAAGACUGGGAUAACUUCGGGAAACCGGAGCUAAUACCGGAUAAUAUUUUGAACCGCAUGGUUCAAAAGUGAAAGACGGUCUUGCUGUCACUUAUAGAUGGAUCCGCGCUGCAUUAGCUAGUUGGUAAGGUAACGGCUUACCAAGGCAACGAUGCAUAGCCGACCUGAGAGGGUGAUCGGCCACACUGGAACUGAGACACGGUCCAGACUCCUACGGGAGGCAGCAGUAGGGAAUCUUACGCAAUGGGCGAAAGCCUGACGGAGCAACGCCGCGUGAGUGAUGAAGGUCUUCGGAUCGUAAAACUCUGUUAUUAGGGAAGAACAUAUGUGUAAGUAACUGUGCACAUCUUGACGGUACCUAAUCAGAAAGCCAUGGCUAACUACGUG
Molecule: ribosomal RNA, 497 nt
Filed under: uncultured bacterium
Lineage: Bacteria
Description: partial 16S ribosomal RNA
Rfam family: Bacterial small subunit ribosomal RNA
Source: RNAcentral